This 253-nucleotide ribosomal RNA is filed under the name uncultured bacterium. RNAcentral describes it as "partial 16S ribosomal RNA". It matches the Rfam family "Bacterial small subunit ribosomal RNA", at positions 524 to 776 of the family's 1533-position model. The record is from RNAcentral.
GACAGAGGCCUCAAGCGUUAGGCGGAAUCACUGGGCUUAAAGCGUGUGUAGGCGGUUGGUUAAGUCAGAUGUGAAAGCCCCGGGCUCAACCUGGGAACGGCAUUUGAUACUGGCUGACUCGAAUGUGGUAGAGGGAGGCGGAAUUCCCGGUGUAGCGGUGAAAUGCGUAGAGAUCGGGAAGAACACCAAUGGCGAAGGCAGCCUCCUGGGCCAACAUUGACGCUGAGACGCGAAAGCGUGGGGAGCAAACAGG